RNAcentral lists this ribosomal RNA (468 nucleotides) under uncultured bacterium. Its description in RNAcentral is "partial 16S ribosomal RNA". It matches the Rfam family "Bacterial small subunit ribosomal RNA", at positions 28 to 507 of the family's 1533-position model. The record is from RNAcentral.
GACGAACGCUGGCGGCGUGCUUAACACAUGCAAGUCGAACGGAAAGGCCCUGCUUUUGUGGGGUGCUCGAGUGGCGAACGGGUGAGUAACACGUGAGUAACCUGCCCUUGACUUUGGGAUAACUUCAGGAAACUGGGGCUAAUACCGGAUAGGAGCUCCUGCUGCAUGGUGGGGGUUGGAAAGUUUCGGCGGUUGGGGAUGGACUCGCGGCUUAUCAGCUUGUUGGUGGGGUAGUGGCUUACCAAGGCUUUGACGGGUAGCCGGCCUGAGAGGGUGACCGGCCACAUUGGGAAUGAGAUACGGCCCAGACUCCUACGGGAGGCAGCAGUGGGGAAUAUUGCAAAAUGGGCGGAAGCCUGAUGCAGCAACGCCGCGUGCGGGAUGACGGCCUUCGGGGUGUAAACCGCUUUCGCCUGUGACGAAGCGUGAGUGACGGUAAUGGGUAAAGAAGCACCGGCUAACUACGUG